RNAcentral lists this ribosomal RNA (486 nucleotides) under uncultured organism. RNAcentral describes it as "bacterial SSU rRNA". It matches the Rfam family "Bacterial small subunit ribosomal RNA", at positions 28 to 507 of the family's 1533-position model. The record is from RNAcentral.
GAUAAACGCUGGCGGCGUGCCUAAUACAUGCAAGUCGAUCGCUGGAAACCUAGCUUGCUAGGUGGAAGGAGAGGCGAACGGGUGAGUAAGACAUAAGCAACCUGCCUACAAAGACUGGGAUAAUCUCUGGAAACGGGGACUAAAACCGGAUAGGUAAUGAGACCACAUGGUCACAUUAUUAAAGGUGAGAAACACUAGUAGAUGGGCUUAUGGCGCAUUAGUUAGUUGGUAAGGUAACGGCCUACCAAGACGAUGAUGCGUAGCCGGGCUGAGAGGCUGAACGGCCACAUUGGGACUGAGACACGGCCCAGACUCCUACGGGAGGCAGCAGUAGGGAAUUUUCGGCAAUGGGGGCAACCCUGACCGAGCAACGCCGCGUGAGUGAUGAAAGUCUUCGGAUUGUAAAGCUCUGUUAUAAGGGAAGAACGUCCUUGAUAGGAUCAGGGAGUGACGGUACCUUAUCAGAAAGCUACGGCUAACUACGUG